Non-coding RNA from Nicotiana tabacum (common tobacco), 577 nucleotides. The record is from RefSeq and is a predicted model, not a curated record. Lineage: Eukaryota; Viridiplantae; Streptophyta; Magnoliopsida; Solanales; Solanaceae.
CUUAAUGGAAAUAGGUUAGGGGCAAGUACCUGCUGGAAGCAUAGCAUCGGUAUCACCAGCAAGUUUGUUUUCUUAAUGGAAAGAGCAAGUGAAGAAGAACAGGGAUCCAAGAUGGGAAGAGGAGUUUAGUUUUGUGUUGGAGGAGCCUCCCGUGAAUGAUAAACUGCAUGUGGAAGUUAUCAGCACCUCAACAAGGAUUGGCCUUCUACAUCCAAAGGAAGUGUUAGGGUAUAUUGAUAUAAGUCUUUCAGAUGUCGUCCACAACACAAGGAUCAACGAGAAGUACAACCUCAUAGAUUCAAAAAAUGGACGGAUUCAAGUUGAGCUGCAAUGGAGGACCGCUAAAUAAUUCUAUCCCGCCUUUGCUAAGCUACAUAAGUUCCCUCUUAUGCUAAGACAGACAUUUUUCUCUCUUCAAACUUGUGUGUUGAAAAAUCAUCGAAUGUUUUGUGUACAUAGUACAAUGACAACCAGCUGGUUAUGGUUAUUUAUGUUUUCAGUACAGUUCUUCUCUGCAUAGCAGGUCGGUUCUGAAACGGCACCCCUUAGAUAUAUUUGAUUCUCAUCUUUCAUUAGA